This 253-nucleotide ribosomal RNA is filed under the name uncultured bacterium. Its description in RNAcentral is "partial 16S ribosomal RNA". It matches the Rfam family "Bacterial small subunit ribosomal RNA", at positions 524 to 776 of the family's 1533-position model. The record is from RNAcentral.
UACGUAGGGGGCAAGCGUUGUCCGGAAUCAUUGGGCGUAAAGAGCGCGUAGGCGGCCCAGUAAGUCCGCUCUGAAAGUCAGGGGCUCAACCCCUGGAUGCGGGUGGAUACUGCUGGGCUAGAGUCCGGAAGAGGCGAGUGGAAUUCCUGGUGUAGCGGUGAAAUGCGCAGAUAUCAGGAGGAACACCGAUGGCGAAGGCAGCGAAUUGGCCCUAUAUUGACGCUCAGGCACGAAAGCAUGGGGAUCAAACAGG